GAGUGAACGCUGGCGGUAGGCCUAACACAUGCAAGUCGAACGGCAGCACAGUAAGAGCUUGCUCUUACGGGUGGCGAGUGGCGGACGGGUGAGGAAUACAUCGGAAUCUACUUUUUCGUGGGGGAUAACGUAGGGAAACUUACGCUAAUACCGCAUACGACCUACGGGUGAAAGCAGGGGAUCUUCGGACCUUGCGCGAUUGAAUGAGCCGAUGUCGGAUUAGCUAGUUGGCGGGGUAAAGGCCCACCAAGGCGACGAUCCGUAGCUGGUAUGAGAGGAUGAUCAGCCACACUGGAACUGAGACACGGUCCAGACUCCUACGGGAGGCAGCAGUGGGGAAUAUUGGACAAUGGGCGCAAGCCUGAUCCAGCCAUACCGCGUGGGUGAAGAAGGCCUUCGGGUUGUAAAGCCCUUUUGUUGGGAAAGAAAAGCAGCAGGUUAAUACCCCGCUGUUCUGACGGUACCCAAAGAAUAAGCACCGGCUAACUUCGUG
Molecule: ribosomal RNA, 493 nt
Filed under: uncultured bacterium
Lineage: Bacteria
Description: partial 16S ribosomal RNA
Rfam family: Bacterial small subunit ribosomal RNA
Source: RNAcentral